RNAcentral lists this long non-coding RNA (361 nucleotides) under Phoenix dactylifera (date palm). Its description in RNAcentral is "long non-coding RNA (PDAC_LNC005434)". Lineage: Eukaryota; Viridiplantae; Streptophyta; Magnoliopsida; Arecales; Arecaceae. The record is from RNAcentral.
UGGUAAUAUGAAUGCUGAAUUCUAAUAGGCAUCGCGUUUUAGGUACCUAAGAAAAAUUUGUCCCCUUCAUUGUUGAUGACAAAAAGGGGGAGUAGAACCAAUAUGGAAUGCAAAAUGCAAAAUUUACACUCAUACUUAAAAGUUGAAUUAGAAUCAACAAAAUGAAAAGAUAAAAUUGAAGAAUAUUGGCUUUAAGACAAUUGUCCUUCUGGAAAAGAAAGGGGGAGUCAAAAGUAUUUGGCUUUUGAUUGUCGUUAGCAUCAAUAUUUCAUUAAUUUCACUUUAACUUGAUUCAAAUCUAAAAGUGAUAGAUGAUAUGCCAAAAUUGCUCAAAGAGCUACUAAGAUCAAUACUUAUGCAU